GAUGAACGCUGGCGGCGUGCCUAAUACAUGCCAGUCGAGCGAACAGACGAGGAGCUUGCUCCUCUGACGUUAGCGGCGGACGGGUGAGUAACACGUGGAUAACCUACCUAUAAGACUGGGAUAACUUCUGGAAACCGGAGCUAAUACCGGAUAAUAUAUUGAACCGCAUGGUUCAAUAGUGAAAGACGGUUUUGCUGUCACUUAUAGAUGGAUCCGCGCCGCAUUAGCUAGUUGGUAAGGUAACGGCUUACCAAGGCAACGAUGCGUAGCCGACCUGAGAGGGUGAUCGGCCACACUGGAACUGAGACACGGUCCAGACUCCUACGGGAGGCAGCAGUAGGGAAUCUUCCGCAAUGGGCGAAAGCUUGACGGAGCAACGCCGCGUGAGUGAUGAAGGUCUUCGGAUCGUAAAACUCUGUUAUUAGGGAAGAACAAAUGUGUAAGUAACUAUGCACGUCUUGACGGUACCUAAUCAGAAAGCCACGGCUAACUACGUG
RNAcentral lists this ribosomal RNA (497 nucleotides) under uncultured bacterium. RNAcentral's name for it is "partial 16S ribosomal RNA". It matches the Rfam family "Bacterial small subunit ribosomal RNA", at positions 28 to 507 of the family's 1533-position model. The record is from RNAcentral.